Long non-coding RNA from Leopardus geoffroyi (Geoffroy's cat), 2583 nucleotides. RefSeq lists it as uncharacterized. Lineage: Eukaryota; Metazoa; Chordata; Mammalia; Carnivora; Felidae. The transcript has 2 exons. The record is from RefSeq and is a predicted model, not a curated record.
AACUGUGGUAUUUUAAUGGUGGGACAUUUUCAUUGUUACUGAAAUAAAUUAAAUCUUUCAUAGUGAAAGAAUGGUAAAGUAGAACUACAGCGUUCUAGCGCAAGAGUCAGGAAUCCUGAAGUCUCAUUGUAGACAGAAGUUAUAAAGAGAAGAAAAAAGACAUUCACGUAGGCUUUUGAGUGUUUGUGGGUUCAGCUCACAUGAGUUUUCCUGUGCUUUCUUUCCCCUACACGGAAUUGACUCAUCAUUUACCCAUUAAACCUGUACAUAGGAGAACAAGAACAUGAAGUCUCUGUCAACUGGUAUUUUCCGUUUGAUUUUCCACUUUUGGAGUCUUCUGAGUUUUCUUUACCUUAUCAGAUUUAGGACUGUAUUCUAGCCUCAUGUGAGAAUAGAGGAGGAUUUGCUGUCAUUCAGGACCUGAGCCUCUAUUCAAAUAGUUUGUAGUUUUUAUCUUCAUCCAUGCCCGAGUUUGGUUAAAACAUGCUGUUUACAGCCUCGGGUUUUCUUUCACUGUCUAGGCUAUCUAUCCCCUCUUCUUUGUUUUCCCCCCAAACUCUAAACUUGGUGUUGGGGGCCCCCAACCUCUGUGCUUGGUUUAGUUUUUACCAAGAACAGGCGCAGUCACCAACCAUUUGUAGGUGCAAGUUAAGGCUUGUUAGAAUGUUUGGCUUCUAAACUGUGAGAUCUGAGUAAUAUCAUCUAGUGUACAGUUUUGAUCACAUGGAGUGUGUUGUAUUUGUAGGAAGAAAGUCAAUUGUAUUUUUUUAAGUUUGUACCAUAGGUCAUAAUUAUUAUAGUGUUUAUAGGAUAAUAAACUCAUUAGGUAAUUAUGUCUCAUUGAGGUAUUUGAAACAUUAUUUGUUUUUAACUUGAAAACUCUCAGGUAGAUAAUAACUAGGUUUCACUUGGGACACUUAAUUUAAGUGGAAGGUAUCUGUAAUGAACUGCACAUUUUCUGUUUUAAUUUUUUUUAUUCUUUGCCAUUUUGAAAAUAAGCUAGGCUAACAGUAGUAGAUGUUGAGGUCAGUCCAUCCUACGCCUAUCUUUCCUCUUAAAUGGUUGAGGUGAGGUGACCCCAAAUUUCAUAAGAUUUGGGUAAAAUUUGCUCAUUAUUGAUCCUAUCAAUGAUGUUUUUUCAGCUAUGGUAUUAAUCAAGUACUUUCUGUUACACCACGCACUAGCUAAGUACUUUUUAUACAUGAUCUCAUUUAGUCGAUAUAGAUACUAUUAUUAUCCUACUUUGCAAAUGAUAACAUUGACUUAAACAAGGCCACAAAGUUAAUAAUUGACAGAACCUAGAUUUGAAACAGUGUUGAAUAGCUCAAAAUCCAGUGUGAUUAACUAUCAGGGGGUAUAGUAAGCUAUAAGUAAAUUGGAUGUAAAGUGGGGGUUCCACAUCCCCUUUCCUUCAGCAGAGGGGGAAAGGAAGAUAAAUGAAUAUGGGAUUUGCUUUCUCCACCCCUGAUCCAAAGAAGGUUGGGAGCCUUUGAGCUAGUUACUGCUCUAGGCCAAGAGAUGAAUGGAAAGUAGGUAGCCUAUGAAGAGGAUCACCUUUUGUUAAGCACUUGUGGAAGAUGCUAGACUUUCUUAAGCAGUGCAGUUUCUUCUUUCUGCUUAUUGGCCUCUUUGUGGGAGAUGCUGUUUACACAGUAUGUUAGUCAGUGUAGGCUGCAGUGACAGAAAACCAUAGACUGGGUGGCUUAACAGAAAUUUGUUUCUUAUAAUUCUGGACGUUGAGAAGUCCAAAACUGAGACAGCAGCUGAUUCAUUUCCUGGUGAGAGCAAUCUUCUUGGCUUCAGAUAUCUACCUUCUCAUUGUGCCCUUACAUGGUGGGAGUAGGGGAGGAGUGGGAGAGAGGAUGCUGUCUGGUGUUCUUAUAAAGACACUAGCCCCACACUCAUGACCUCAUCUCAACCUAAUUAAAUUACAGGCCCCAUUGUCAAAUAGCAUAACAUUGAGGAUUAGUGCUUGAAUGUAUGAAUUUUGGGGGGACCCAGUUCAGUUUCUGGGGCAUAGUCUUUCAAUACCCCUUGUAGGCUUUAUGUAGAGUUAAGAUUCUGUGGUGAAAGUGAUUAACAUUUAGUGUCUCCCACUAAAGUGUUCUUUAAUUCUAGACAUGAUGAACAUUUAUGGCUUAGAUUAAACUUUUACCAGGUAACACACUCUGUGUAAAAACUGAAGUGUUUCUCAAAUGUUAUCUCAUUUAGUCUUUGCAGUAGAUGAGAAAAUUGAGGCUCAGUUUUGUAUAUAUUUCAGGUGGCAUAACUAUUAAGUGGUAAAACUUACAUCAGGGAUGCUUUAGGCUGCAAAUGUCAAUAAUAAAAUAAAACAAAACCUCACAAAAUAUCCAACCUUCCUUAGCUUAAAGAAAUAGAUGUUUAAUUUUCAUACGUAACAAGAAGUCCAUAUAUAUAAGUAGUUUCUGUUUGGGUAUAGAAGGUUAGCAAUGUUAGGACUUGAUCUGCAUCCCUACAAUUCUUCUGGCCUUCCAUUCAUCAUUAUAAGGUGGCUGUGGAAGCCCACAUGCUAAGAGAGGGAACAGAGGAUGAUACAUGGCAGGGCACUCUUCCAUGUGCUUU